AUGGCUCAGGCAGAGCGCUAGCGGCAGGCUUAACACAUGCAAGUCGAGGGGCAGCGGGGAGGAAGCUUGCUUUCUCCGCCGGCGACCGGCGCACGGGUGAGUAACACGUAUGCAACCUGCCCCUGUCAGGGGGACAACCCGCCGAAAGGCGGGCUAAACCCGCGUACAUGCCACCGGGGCAUCCCGGAGGCAGGAAAGGCUUCGGCCGGACAGGGAUGGGCAUGCGGCGCAUUAGGCAGUAGGCGGGGUAACGGCCCACCUAACCGACGAUGCGUAGGGGUUCUGAGAGGAAGGUCCCCCACACUGGUACUGAGACACGGACCAGACUCCUACGGGAGGCAGCAGUGAGGAAUAUUGGUCAAUGGUCGGGAGACUGAACCAGCCAAGCCGCGUGAGGGAUGAAGGUACAGAGUAUCGUAAACCUCUUUUGUCAGGGAACAAAGGCGGGGACGUGUCCCCGGAUGAGUGUACCUGAAGAAAAAGCAUCGGCUAACUCCGUGCCAGCAGCCGCGGUAAUACGGAGGAUGCGAGCGUUAUCCGGAUUUAUUGGGUUUAAAGGGUGCGCAGGCGGUCUGUUAAGUCAGCGGUCAAAGCCCGGGGCUCAACCCCGGCCCGCCGUUGAAACUGGCAGUCUCGAGUUGGAGAGAAGUAUGCGGAAUGCGCGGUGUAGCGGUGAAAUGCAUAGAUAUCGCGCAGAACUCCGAUUGCGAAGGCAGCAUGCCGGCUCCACGCUGACGCUGAGGCACGAAAGCGUGGGUAUCGAGCAGGAUUAGAUACCCUGGUAGUCCACGCAGUAAACGAUGAAUGCUGGCUGUCCGGGGGGGAUUGACCCCUGGGUGGCGAAGCGAAAGCGAUAAGCAUUCCACCUGGGGAGUACGCCGGCAACGGUGAAACUCAAAGGAAUUGACGGGGGCCCGCACAAGCGGAGGAACAUGUGGUUUAAUUCGAUGAUACGCGAGGAACCUUACCCGGGCUCAAACGGGGAGUGACUCAGGCAGAGACGCCUGUUUCCCACGGGACACUCCCCGAGGUGCUGCAUGGUUGUCGUCAGCUCGUGCCGUGAGGUGUCGGCUUAAGUGCCAUAACGAGCGCAACCCCCGCGUGCAGUUGCUAACAGAUAACGCUGAGGACUCUGCACGGACUGCCGGCGCAAGCCGCGAGGAAGGCGGGGAUGACGUCAAAUCAGCACGGCCCUUACGUCCGGGGCGACACACGUGUUACAAUGGGUGGUACAGCGGGAAGCCAGGCGGCGACGCCGAGCGGAACCCGAAAUCCACUCUCAGUUCGGAUCGGAGUCUGCAACCCGACUCCGUGAAGCUGGAUUCGCUAGUAAUCGCGCAUCAGCCAUGGCGCGGUGAAUACGUUCCCGGGCCUUGUACACACCGCCCGUCAAGCCAUGGGAGCCGAGGGCGCUUGAAGUGCGUCGCCGCGAGGCGCGCCCUAGAGCGAAAUCGGUGACUGGGGCUAAGUCGUAACAAGGUAACCG
This 1486-nucleotide ribosomal RNA is filed under the name uncultured bacterium. RNAcentral's name for it is "partial 16S ribosomal RNA". It matches the Rfam family "Bacterial small subunit ribosomal RNA". The record is from RNAcentral.